UGGCUAGCUAGAUUCGUUGCACUGCAAACAGCCAUGGAACAAGCAGCUGGACUAGUGUACCAACUCUUCCAAAACGAAAUGUUUCCCUGGAUCCUAGCCUUGUUCCCAUUCCUUCUCCUAGCACUGCACUACUUGGCAACAAAUCAUAGAACACCAACAACCUGCAAGGAAACGAGGAAUCAUCUUUCCCCACCUUCACCUCCGAGGUUACCCAUCAUAGGGCACCUGCACCUCAUCGGUGACCUCCCGCACGUCUCUCUUCGUGAGCUCGCUCAUCGGUACGGCCCCAACCUCAUGCUCCUCCACCUCGGCCAGGUCCAGAACCUCGUCGUCUCCUCCCCACACGCCGCAGAGGCUGUCUUGCGCACGCAUGACCAUGUCUUUGCGUCACGGCCACACUCUUUAAUCGGCGACAUACUCCUCUACGGCCCGUCCGAUGUCGGGCUUUCGCCUUACGGCGAGCAGUGGCGGCGGAGCAGGAGGAUCGUCACAACGCACCUGCUGACCAACAAGAAGGUGCGGUCGUACCAUGUAGCACGAGAAGAGGAGGUGCAUAAGGUAAUGACCAAAGUCCAUGAGUUAUCCACCAAGGGUAUGGGAGUGGACAUGUUUGAGCUCUUCAGCACCUACUCGAAUGACCUCAUAUGCCGCCUUGUGUCGGGGAAGAACUUCCAAGGGGACAAAGGUCGAAACAAAAUGUUCCGUCAACUGUUCAAAGCAAAUUAUGUACUCCUCGCAGGGUUUAACCUAGAGGACUACUACCCAGGCUUGGCAAGGCUCAAAGCUGUGUCGUGGGUGAUGUGUGCCAAGGCCAGGAACACGAGGAAGUUGUGGGAUGAAUUGCUCGACGAGAUUAUCAAUGAUCGUAUGAGCAAACAACCAUGUGAGCAUGAUAGAGGCAAUGAUGAUCAAGAUGAGAUGGACUUCGUAGAUGUUUUGCUCCUUCAAGAGCGAGGCAUCACCAGAGAUCACCUUAAAGCAAUUCUAGUAGACAUGUUUCAAGCCGGUACGGAGACGACAUCAGUGGUGCUAGUAUUCGCCAUGGCCGAGCUUAUGCAGAAGCCACAUCUCAUGGCCAAGUUGCAGGCCGAACUAAGAACGAACAUACCCAAGUAGGGACGAGAAUUGAUCACUGAAUGUGAUCAGACCAACAUGACCUACCUCAAGGCUGUCAUCAAGGAGACACUUCGGUUGCAUCCACCAAGUCCUCUUCUCGUCCCACAUCUCGCGAUGGCUGACUGUGAUAUUGAUGGCUACACAGUUCGCUCGGGGACACGUGUCAUCGUCAAUGCAUGGGCUAUUGGAAGGAACUCUGAAUCUUGGGAAGCUGCAGAGGAGUUUUUGCCUGAGAGGUUUGUUGAUGGUGGAAGUGCCGCGAACGUAGACUUCAUAGGGACAGACUUCCAGUUCUUGCCGUUUGGCGCAAGCGGCGGAUCUGUCCUGGAAUAAACUUUGCUUCUGCGAGCAUGGAGAUCAUCCUAGCAAACCUUCUGUACCAUUUUGACUGGGAUGUUUCAGCUGAAGCAGCCAUAGAUAAAGAUGGCAUUGAUAUGGCUGAAGCGUUCGGGUUGUCAGUGCAGCUAAAGGAAAAGCUACUGCUUGUACCGGUAGAGUAUAAGGGUAGCGUGCAGGAUUCGGCUGUUAUAUUAUGAUAGGAUUAGUUUCUGUCGUAUUUAUUUGGGAUUAUGUAAAAUCCAAGUUAUGUAUAACUCUAUUUGUACGCCGGUCUCUGAGUCUGAGGUUCAAUAUAUCGAACCAUAUAUAGUUACGUGGUACAUUUAUCUCGUUCACGCUUUCAGUGCCGAAAACCUGCGAAGUCAUUCAGGAAGCACUUGAGAGUAACGUUCAGGGAUACCCACGGCCAUGUCAUUAUAUUCCUAAACUUUGUCACAUUACCAACA
RNA transcript from Oryza sativa Japonica Group (Japanese rice), 1901 nucleotides. It is a transcript of the gene named indole-2-monooxygenase-like, with no coding region annotated. The record is from RefSeq and is a predicted model, not a curated record. Lineage: Eukaryota; Viridiplantae; Streptophyta; Magnoliopsida; Poales; Poaceae.